AUUGAUAAUGACUUCAGUUUUGUACGCAACAAAACAAAACAAAACAUCAUUAUAUAUUAUUUUAGACAUGGAUUAUAUAGUUAAGGAAUUAGGUAUAAGUAAUAAGAAUAUAUUCCCCACUGCCUCACCUGGCCUUUACUCCGUCGUCGUCCACACGAGCUGGCUGAAGAAAUGGAUAAAGAACCUCGAAAUAGAUACCUCGCUAAACAAUGUAGAUUUUACCUUGCAGCCUGGUGAAAGUGUACCUUAUCCGUGGCGAAAAAUAUUUAUGAGGGUGUUGAGUAAAAAAGUAUCCAAGGUUCUUCCUCUGCCUCGAUUCAAACUCAACGAGAACACGAACGAUACUCCCCUCACAUUCUCUCAACUGCUGCAAUAUGUCUCACAAAGUAACCAAAGAACAUUAUGGAAAGAAUCUUAUAAGAAGUACUGUCAGAAUAAUGAAGGCAGCAAGGAAAGUACCAUAGUGAAUCUAUUGGAGCAUGACCAGCUCAUGUCCGAGGUCGUGCUGCGCUUGUACGGAUGUAAUAUAAUUAGAGUUAAGUGCGAUGCAACUGGCAAGCAUAUAGAGUACAAAGAGAUUAUACCUAAUAAGCACAUCCUAAAAAUGUAUGAAACUCAUGGCAAUCUACUAGCAGCUAUGUUUACUAUAGAAACAGACAAUAACUUCUUCAUAGUGUACAGAGGUCAAUAUGAUAAUACUCUUCUAGAUUGUUUGAAUUUCAGCCCUAAUUUAAUAGACAUGAAUUACAGCCGAGGUUUGUUUAUUGUGUACCAGUUGUUGAAUUUGUCAAAGGCUAUGAGCGACAGAGGAUUAAGUAUAGGCAUGCUUACUCUUGAAGAUAUUUAUUUGUCUGAGAACUUGUGGAUCCAAGUGGUGCCUAUGAUAACAAAUAACAUACAUUGUUUGGAUGCCUCCCUGAUUAUUGAGCAUAAUAGAAGUAAGCAGACUACUCCUGCAAACAGUCAAGGCCCUCCUAGUAAAAAAGGGGAGGAGUGGUGUUGGAGAAAGGAGGCGGUCCAGUUAGAAAAGCUGUGUAUGCUUUGGGUGAGAGGCCGGAUAUCUAACCUGGAUUAUCUUCUACACCUGAAUAUGUUAGCUGGAAGAUCUGCUAAUGAUCCCCAAGCUCAUUUCAUGGUCCCAUGGGUGACUGAUUUCUCAUCGAGAUGUGGCAGGAACUGGCGCGACCUCAGUAAGUCGAAGUACCGGCUGAACAAGGGCGACAGACAGCUCGACAUGACAUAUGACGUCAGCAGCUGCACCGAUCAGAUACCGCAUCACGUUUCCGACGCCCUCUCCGAUAUUACGUGCUACGUAUAUUUAGCGCGCAGAACACCAAAAGAGGUCCUAUGUAAACACGUGAGGAACAAAUGGGUGCCGGCAGAGUACCCCGCGUCGGUGCAACGGAUGCAGGAGUGGACGCCGGACGAGUGCAUACCCGAGUUCUAUACUGACCCCACUGUUUUUAAGAGCAUACAUGAAGAUUUGCCGGAUCUGGGUAUUCCAUCGUGGGCGACGUGUGUGGAAGACUUUAUAACAAAACACAGGGAAGCGUUGGAGAGUACACAUGUGUCGGAGAACCUUCACCAUUGGAUUGAUAUUACCUUUGGAUACAAACUAUCUGGCCCAGCAUCCAUAAAGGCUAAGAACGUAUGUCUCUCACUGGUGGACGGGCACACGCGGCUGCGUCGCGGCGGCGCCGUGCAGCUGCUGUGUGCCCCCCACCCGCCCCGCGCCGCCCGCGCGCUGCCCCCCGCGCCGCCCCGCCUGCACUGGACUGCGGCUAAGGAUGCUAAAAAAGCCCUUCGAAACGACAGUUCCGACGACAUUUCGGAUGACGAAGAAGAAUCUACCAGCUUACCUCAACACGUUUCCCGGCUAAAUGUUCCUCCCCAACGCGUCAGAUCUCGACAUAAGAGCAGCAGUCGAGCUCGUUCCCUAUCCAAGAGCCAGGGUCUUGAAGACUCUCACACAGUCUCCGAAGGUCGAGCUUCCUCCCACUCUCGACACUACAGGGUCCAAAGGUCAGAACUAGGAAAAGGCGUCAUAUAUCUCCCAAAAGAAUUCAACCCAGUAGCCUCUAUUCAAGCCAUAGAGUCCCUCGAUAACUUCAGAACGAAAUGCUUCUUCACCAAAGCUGAUGAUAAAGAGAAACAUAGAGAAAAUGUCACCACUUUGAACCUGUACCCGGUACAGCAAGAUAUGAGGCAAGAUAGUACCACAUCAACUAAAGAAGGGUCCGAUGAUACGGCGUUUACGAAUCACAUGUUUUUAGCGUCCUACGAUCAAAGUUAUCUGAAGAAAUUCACGCAAGAUGCUCACUUAGAAAGUGUACUCAAGGAAAGGAAGAAUAGGUCCUUCAAUACUCGGUACACCACAGAUGCGGCGAUUUACAAGCAAUUUGUUACAGAGAGUCGAAGGCAAGACAUGUUGGUCAUAGGCUGUUUGAUUGUAGAAAUAUUCCUUCACACAUACAUGAGACCGCUUAGAACGCCCACCGAUAACUUCUUAGAACGAUACAAUAAUUGCCGGACUGUGUUAAAACAUAACUUCAAUGCGUUACCAAGAAGUGUUAGUUACGUGGCCUCAUUACUGCUAAACGUUCAACCCCCUUGCUUAUCUUACAAGAACGAGUUAACUCCCAAAAAGGAGGAGCCAUUAAAGAAGAUUUUAGUUACCGAUAAAGGGUUGCCAGCACCCACUCCUGCGCAACUACUCCAACCGUUAUUAAUGCAACACUUAAUACCAUUCCCGCAAAGCUUUAAUAUUUUAUACAAGUUACUGAAUACGUUGCAUGAAUAUGAUCUCACGAGCACCGAACUGAACAUACUAUACAUGUACGAAUGUGACGGGGUUCAAUGUGAGAAGUACCAAAAUGUCGAUAAAACAAAAUUAUACUUUAAUCAGAAAAUAGCUGAAGGAAAGAUUCAGGCUUGUGCGACACAUCUAGAUGUUCUCCUAAACCAAGUGAACUGUUACAAUCAGUUCGAUGUGCUAGAUAUAUUCCUGUCACAUUACAUAGAAUUACUUCAGAAUAAGGACACAUCAGUAUUAGCCGCGUGGUACUUAUUUGACACUGUGAGCAAAGCCUUAGGUCCUGCAGAGACGAGGAAAAAGUUGCUUAAACAUAUUCUGAAUUUGUACGAAGAUGAUGAUUUUGCUGUGGAUAAACCAGAUCAGCAUAAGUUGACAGAUGUUGACAGUUUAACUCUCGCUGGAGGUGUAUCAAAUAAGCAGAAGUUCGUGAAACUCUAUCACAAUAUAUUCCUUCUUCAAUUGAUGGUCAGAUUAGGUCUUCAGUGCUUCUUAGAUAAUUUUACCCAACAUUUAGUUGAGGCAGUCGGUGGUUACAAAGACGUGACUGAGGAAGUCGGGUCUCCUGGUCAUUUAUGUCACAAUAAAGCCUUGUCCAACAAGAAGCCACGAUAUUCAGAUGAUAAUGUAAAGAAUGCUUUAUCGUCCAACACUGAUAUAUUUUCGCCGGACACUUCAUACGGGUCGGAACACGUGACCACUCCAAGUGUCGAAAAAACUGAGGCGAACGAAGGUUUGAAGGAGAAAGACAGCGAUAAUAGAAGCGAAAAUGAAUUGUUUCACUUCGAAACUGAUAAAGAUAGACUUCCUAGUAGGAGCAGUAGAAGUAAGUCUCCCGCUGAGUCUAUAGACUCUUAUAACUCUAAUACUACUCAAGAGAAUAAUAUACAUACCCCAUCGCCUUCUAUAGAUCAUGUGUCACCAAUAUCGGCGAAAUAUUUCACGCCGAACAACACAGCGCAAAAAGAACCCAACGCUUUAGUCAAUAAAGAUCAAAAUCAUGAAACCAUAACACCGGCUAACAAGCCAACAUCGCCCGUCAUAGAAAUUCCUACCAAACCGAUGUUCACGAGUUAUUUACACUUCGCGGAAGAAGACGAUUCUGAGGAGGUGGAAUUACGAAGAAAGUCUCAUGAUCCUCAAAUAAACUUGGACUUAGGGAGACAUAUGGAGAAUUCUAAAGCUUCUAGAAGUAUGAAUGAUGAUGAUUUUUCUGGUUUCAAAGACCCGAACAGUUCUAAGAUAUCAGAUAUGAGCUCGGAGAGUUUGAUCUGGUUGGCUCAUAGAUUAGGCCCGGUACUUACUUGUAGGUAUAUAACGAGGAAUUUGCUGAAGAUGUUGACUUUGUGUUAUAUUGGGAAGGAUAAUUUGGCGCCGUGGGAUAGUGAGGAGAAAGAUGAGUUCGAUGAGAUAUCGAUAGUGAAUAGUAGAGUGGUGGGAGAUAGGAAUGCGAUGAAGGUCAUCAAGUGCCUCACUUCUAUUGUCGCAAUGUACGGCGAGCAGCUGAUAAUCUUCCAAUACCUCCCGCACAUGGGUGAGCUGAUCGCGUCGUGUCGCCGCCGCCUGUCCGCGCCGCUAGAGGGCGGCGUGGUCGCGUGUCUGCAGUUAGUCAAGUAUCUACUGCCGCAUAUGUCUGAUGUUAAACUUAUGGAGCAGUUGCAGGACACAUUCCUCAAAACCAUCCUGCAACCAGCUCUCCGCCUAGCCUCCACCACUCGUUGUUCGUACCCAAGUGGGGCGGCCGCACGGUGUUCCCUCACUAGGAAACUGUUGGACGCCCUACAUGUGCUAGCCGUCAGGAUUGGACCUGAGAUGACGAGGAGGCAUCUGUGUGUACCGGCUUUGCAGAGAUUCUUCUUGGCGUUUGAUAAAGCGACUGGGAAGACAGAAAACUGGCCGAAACAAGAAGAAAGUACGCCUGAAAAGUCUUCAGACCAAGAAUCAACAGACUCGAAGCCGGAAGGGUUCCUAGAGCUAUGUCGCGACGGCACGACGGCAGAGUGGCGCGUACAAGACGGACGAGUAGUUCGAGCGGACUUACCCGACCUCGCCUGUACCCCGCCCGAUGUGUCUGAACAUCCGCAUGAUACUACUAGGUUAACGGCUCAAGAGGAACUGCUAAUGGUAUUCGACGAGGAGCUAGCGCAUCGAGCGUACACUACAUUCGCUAAGUUCAUAGGCUCCGACACCAUGGAGCGAUGCCUCAAGAACAUCGAUACUGUACGCGCGUUGUGCAGGAAGUAUGAACAUAGUCAUGCUGUUAGCUCUCCCUUCCAAAUUCGUCCCGACAAGCGGGUCCAACCGUCAUUCAGCGACGAGCCUCUAAACCGGAAGACCGAUUACUCUUCUGCCAAGCCUGAGGUCAUAAUGGACCACAUCUCCAGUUCCAACAGCUUUGGGUCCAAUGUGACCCUAGUGGGUAACAGGAUAGAUGUCGCUAGUGACGCGUGUGAUGUCGGUAAUGGACCUCAAGGUCAUGGGUUCGAUGUCGUGGCGUAUAAGGCUGAUAAUGGAGUGAGGAGUAAUAGGCACUUACGAGGCGACUGGCUAAUCUACUGGGAGCAUGAAAUCGGCCGUUCUGACAAGGAAACCCGGUUCAACCUGAAACAGAUCAAGUUGCAGACAUUCGUGGGACACACGCACUCCGUCAAGAGUAUACAUUGCCUGGAUAAUGAGAACAGUUUCAUGAGCGGGUCUAAAGACAAAACUGUAAGGUUGUGGUCUUUGAGGAAUCAGGGCGACGGCAACGCGACUACUCAAUGCAACUGGACGUACACGGGCCACAAGAAAGGCGUACUAUCGCUCACAUUCCUAGAGUCGUUACGUCUGGCGGUGUCCACUGAUUCUGUAGUCCAUAUAUGGGAUCCGUUCAUGGAGAGUGUGGUUUCUCAGUUGGACACCUUAAAGUCCCCAGUAAGCAUAGUGCGUACACUGGCGGGCCCGUCGGCCGCAGUGCUGGCGGCCACCACGGACGCCACGCUGCGGGUCAUCGAUGCUCGCUCGCCGCACACCUCGCAUGAACUGAAGUUACCAAUGAGCGCUACUACCUUCAUCCGCUGCAUGUGCGUGUGUUCGUCCGGCGGCUGGGCGGCGUGUGGGCUGGCCAGCGGACACGUGGCCGUCACCGACCUGCGGACCGGACUCACCAUCGCCACGUGGCGAGCUCAUGAUGGAGAGGUGCUAAGACUGGCAACAGUGGAUGACCACAGACUACUGAGCUCCGGGUUGGAUCAGGUCACUGCGCUGUGGAGGCCUGACGAUGGAGAACUCAUAGCUCAUCUCAAAGGCAGCACGGAACCCGUCCAUUGUCUCUCAGUGUACUACAAAGAGUUAAUAUCGGGCACCACAAACAACCGCAUCGGAGUUCACACGUCAUUAUCACAAGACGCCAGCUUUUCCAGCACUAAGCUACGGUCUGACACGUUCAGAGGAGUUCUGACGUGUAUGGCUGUGUUGCCACUUAAUAGGUUAUUACUACUGGCCAGUGAUAAUGGUACUAUCAGUCUACUGUGCUGAGUUACAGUAUAUUUUCAGUAGCUAAAGUUAAUUCUGAGGUAUCUAUUAACACAUGUCGUCUUGUUGCCACUCAAUAGGCUACUGCUGCUGAGCAGCGAUAAUAGCACCGGUACUUUGCCAAGUAACCAUAGGCCAGUGAUAAUGGCAUCAUCACUUUGCCAAGUCACCGUAGAAUUCACUUACAAAGCUUUUAAAUAAAAAAUAUAUAUAUUUCUGCGUUCAGUAUUUGCUACUGCCACAUAAGUUUCUGGCGACAAAAAUGGCACCUGCAUGUUAUUUUGUGUUGCAUAAGUAAGUGUGUUCUAACUUGUAUGUGUGUCCUUGGCCAAGGUUUGCAAAUAUCGAGAGAUGCUUUGCUUUAGAAUGUCCUUCGUUGAAACGUCUAAAUAUAUCUAUUCUGUCACAAACUAGACGCUUGCUAUUUGCUAGCUUUUGAAAAGCUUAAAUAUAUGAAUAAUUGUCGAUAUUUAAUUGAGCUGUGCUCAAUCUUAAAGUUGGAUAGGAAUUUUAUUUAAAAUUAGUAUUAUUUGAUUAGUCAAGCACCAUAUCACGGCGCUUUUAGUGAUCUCUUACACAAAAAUAAUUAAAUAAAACCUUUGAAUUCAUUUCAAUUCUUAGAAAAGUAGGUGAUAUUAACUGAUCAACCAAAGUAUACAAAGUUAUUAAGUUAAUGGAAAAUUAAUACUUUUCAAAUCAGUAUGUACUGAAAACAUUCCAAAAGUGACGACAUAUGAAACUCCUGAUUUACAAUAUAAAAGGCAAAAUGAAAACUGAUCAUUCCAUAUUAUUCAUUCCUGAAGUAUUUUCUAAAAUUGAUAGUUAUUGACCGGAUCAAAAACUUCAAAUUGUAGGCCUGUAAUGAAAGACUACUACUCAAUUUAUUAUAUGCUUGACAAAAUAUAGUACGUGGAAAUUGAUAUUUGAACAUCGAUACUAAAAAGAGGUAGGUAUGUACUGUUAUACUUCAACUCCUUUUAUAAAUAAAUGAUCAGAUGAAGAGAAGAAUGGGUUAAAAAUGCCCUUUCCUCAUAACUAAGCAUUUUUGUCUAAUAUCCAUAUAAUACAUAGAGUAUGUAAUAAAAAUCCUUGAUCUUAGCUUAUACGUAUUUAUGUAAAAAUGGCUUUUUAUAUGAAUUGACGUGUAAUAGAUGCGGGAUCACAUAAGUCUCAUAAUUCCUUGCCGAACGAAUAUAAACAUUAUGUUUGUGAAAAUAAAGUCGAAAAUUCAGAAACAUCGUCGCAUUAUAUUCAUCGUCAUUAUUUUAAAUGCGACCUUAAAUCAACGCAAAUAAUGUUUUAUUUUCUUCGGCAGAUACUAGUUAGAAAUAAGUGUACAGGAUAAGUAAAAGUAAGUUCGUGUCGAGUAAGAUAAAUACUGUAUAAUACGAUAUAACCUUACCAUAUGUGUCAAAAGUACAAAAUAGUCGUUACCAAAGAGUUAUUCGAUCAUAAUAAUUAUUUUGAGAUUAUUGUCAUUUGUACCAUCAUUUAAACCAGUAAUAUUUAAUAAGCUUAACACAACAACUACCUUAUUCUUCUUGUAAAAAGAUCAAUUUACCUAAAUCGCCAUAGCAGGCUACUUUUGGAAAAGUAUAGCGGAUACAACCAAUUAUAAUCAUGUAAAAAUGUAUGAUUUUGUGUAAAUGUAAUAACAAUAAUAUUAUACAUCGAUAUUUAAUUCUUUUAUUAUAUUUUAGCUCAAUUUAUUACCAUUAUGAGUUUUAAAUGUAUUCUAUGUUAGUAAAUUAAUGUGUAGUGUUGCUAGUAUACAUACUUAAUAGGUAAAUAUAAUUUGUAAAUAAGAAAAAUAUUAUAAACUAUAGUGGGAUUGAUGGUCGUUACUCCCCGCCUUACCCCUCGGCUGGGCAAAGAGCAUUGGGACACCGUUCGUUCAGUAAUUUGCUUCUAAAAAUGAUAAUUAUCGUAAAGUGUAUAUUAGUAGUGCGCUUAAUGAAGUCACAAUUUCAGUUUCUAAGCUUACGCCUAGCACCAAACACUCCUAAUAUCUUAAUCUUUCGUUCUAAGAUAUUGAAUGUCGACGCAACUUAGCAAAAAUAAAACCCUUCUUAGUCGUCGAAUAAAAAGACAAAAGUUCUUAAUAAUGUCACAAAAAUAGGCAUGAAUUGCAACUUUGCUUUUGUUAGUAUAAUUUUAUUUUAAAGCACUUUUUUUAGUGAUAUAAAGAACAAAUGAUAUUUCAGUCUGUAGUAUAAUAAUGUACGUGUAUGAAAAAAAUCCAAAAUAUUAAUUGUAAGGUCAACAGUAGAAAAAAAGACGAAGAAAUGUAGAAUACGGACGAAAAAUAGAUGAUACAAGAUUUUGCAUUGUGUAAAAUAAGACAAAUAAAACUGCAAUAUUAUGCAGUAACAGAGCAGAAAUCCGACACUACUCUUUGGUAUCGUCGUCGGCCAUAACCGUUAUAUUUAUUUCGAUGUAGAAACUCGGAACUUUUCUGAAUGUCUCAUGUUUAGUUACCACCCCAUAUUUUAUUCUCAUCGGUAGUUACAGUGCCAAAUGUCCGUCAUAUAUUCUUGACACAUCCAGCAUUUAAAAUAAUUAUCUAAUUAAUUGAAAUAGCCCAAUAACUCUGAGAUAUUAUACAUUGUACAUGCCUAGGUCAUAUGUUCGUCGACACCAUCCAAAUGUAGAACAUAGUAUUAGAGAAGGUAAGGCCAGCCUUGAUUCAAAGUUUUACCAACCUGUUGUAACUAUGUAAUAUGUAUAUUCUGUAUCGUAGCAAAGGUAUUUUUUUGUAAUAAAAGUAUUUUGUAACCGG
This 9104-nucleotide unclassified non-coding RNA is filed under the name Helicoverpa zea (corn earworm). RNAcentral's name for it is "wD repeat-containing protein 81, transcript variant X2". Lineage: Eukaryota; Metazoa; Arthropoda; Insecta; Lepidoptera; Noctuidae. The record is from RNAcentral.